Molecule: long non-coding RNA, 98 nt
Filed under: Capra hircus (goat)
Lineage: Eukaryota; Metazoa; Chordata; Mammalia; Artiodactyla; Bovidae
Description: lncRNA (ENSCHIG00010017973.1)
Source: RNAcentral
AGAUGCAUGGUGAAGAAGUACCGUUCAUUCGAGCUUCAGGACCCGCCAAGUGACCGAGGUCCAAACAGGAAGAGAGGAUAAGAAGAAACUGAGGCUUC